This 254-nucleotide ribosomal RNA is filed under the name uncultured bacterium. RNAcentral describes it as "partial 16S ribosomal RNA". It matches the Rfam family "Bacterial small subunit ribosomal RNA", at positions 524 to 777 of the family's 1533-position model. The record is from RNAcentral.
UACGUAGGCAGCAAGCGUUGUUCGGAAUUACUGGGCGUAAAGAGUGUGUAGGCGGUUUUCAAGUUUGGUGUGAAAUCUCCCGGCUCAACUGGGAGGGUGCGCCGAAUACUGAAUGACUAGAGUGCGGGAGAGGAUAGUGGAAUUCCUGGUGUAGCGGUGAAAUGCGUAGAUAAUCAGGAGGAACACCGGUGGUGUAGACGGCUAUCUGGACCGUAACUGACGCUGAGGCACGAAAGCGUGGGUAGCAAACAGGG